UACGGAGGGUGCAAACGUUGCUCGGAUUCAUUGGGCGUAAAGGGUGCGUAGGUGGCGCGUUAAGUCAGGUGUGAAAUUUCGGAGCUUAACCCCGAAACUGCAUUUGAUACUGGCGUGCUUGAGGACUGGAGAGGAGACUGGAAUUCAUGGUGUAGCAGUGAAAUGCGUAGAGAUCAUGAGGAAGACCAGUGGCGAAGGCGGGUCUCUGGACAGUUCCUGACACUGAGGCACGAAGGCCAGGGGAGCAAACGGG
This 253-nucleotide ribosomal RNA is filed under the name uncultured bacterium. RNAcentral describes it as "partial 16S ribosomal RNA". It matches the Rfam family "Bacterial small subunit ribosomal RNA", at positions 524 to 776 of the family's 1533-position model. The record is from RNAcentral.